RNAcentral lists this ribosomal RNA (497 nucleotides) under uncultured bacterium. Its description in RNAcentral is "partial 16S ribosomal RNA". It matches the Rfam family "Bacterial small subunit ribosomal RNA", at positions 28 to 507 of the family's 1533-position model. The record is from RNAcentral.
GAUGAACGCUGGCGGCGUGCCUAAUACAUGCAAGUCGAGCGAACGGACGAGAAGCUUGCUUCUCUGAUGUUAGCGGCGGACGGGUGAGUAACACGUGGAUAACCUACCUAUAAGACUGGGAUAACUUCGGGAAACCGGAGCUAAUACCGGAUAAUAUUUUGAACCGCAUGGUUCAAAAGUGAAAGACGGUCUUGCUGUCACUUAUAGAUGGAUCCGCGCUGCAUUAGCUAGUUGGUAAGGUAACGGCUUACCAAGGCAACGAUGCAUAGCCGACCUGAGAGGGUGAUCGGCCACACUGGAACUGAGACACGGUCCAGACUCCUACGGGAGGCAGCAGUAGGGAAGCUUCCGCAAAGGGCGAAAGCCUGACGGAGCAACGCCGCGUGAGUGAUGAAGGUCUUCGGAUCGUAAAACUCUGUUAGUAGGGAAGAACAUAUGUGUAAGUAACUGUGCACAUCUUGACGGUACCUAAUCAGAAAGCCACGGCUAACUACGUG